Molecule: ribosomal RNA, 2478 nt
Filed under: human gut metagenome
Description: bacterial LSU rRNA
Rfam family: Bacterial large subunit ribosomal RNA
Source: RNAcentral
UCAAGUGACUAAGUGCAUGCGGCGGAUGCCUUGGCGAUCACAGGCGAAGAAAGACGCGGCAGCCUGCGAAAAGCUGCGGGGAGCUGGCAAACGAGCUUUGAUCCGCAGAUAUCUGAAUGGGGGAACCCACACCGCAAGGUGUAUCCGUAGCUCAAUACAUAGGUUACGGAGGCGAACGAGGAGAACUGAAACAUCUAAGUAUCCUCAGGAAAAGAAAUCAACCGAGAUUCCGGCAGUAGCGGCGAGCGAACCCGGAGGAGCCCAGCUUUUGAUAGUACGAACUUUAGCCGAAAGGUCCUGGAAAGGCCUGCUAUAGUGGGUGAUAGCCCCGUAGGCGAAAGAGUUGGUACGGUACUAAGGAAGCGAGAAGUAGAGCGGGACACGUGGAAUCCUGUUCGAAGACGGGGGGACCAUCCUCCAAGGCUAAAUACUCGUGAUCGACCGAUAGUGAACCAGUACCGUGAGGGAAAGGCGAAAAGAACCCCGGGAGGGGAGUGAAAUAGAACCUGAAACCGCAUGCAUACAAACAGUAGGAGCCUCGUCAGAGGUGACUGCGUACCUUUUGCAUAAUGGGUCAGCGACUUACAUUCUGUGGCGAGCUUAACCGAAUAGGGGAGGCGCAGCGAAAGCGAGUUCGAAAUGAGCGUUCAGUCGCAGGGUGUAGACCCGAAACCAGAUGAGCUAUCCAUGGCCAGGUUGAAGGUGUGGUAACACACACUGGAGGACCGAACCGACUAGUGUUGCAAAAUUAGCGGAUGAGCUGUGGAUAGGGGUGAAAGGCCAAACAAAUCUGGAGAUAGCUGGUUCUCCCCGAAAACUAUUGAGGUAGUGCCUCGUGUGUCGCUCCAGGGGGUAGAGCACUGUUUUGGCUAGGGGGACAUGGAGUCUUACCAAACCAAGGCAAACUCCGAAUACCUGGAAGCGUAAGCACGGGAGACAGAGCACCGGGUGCUAACGUCCGGACUCAAAAGGGAAACAACCCAGACCGCCGGCUAAGGUCCCAAAUAACAGCUAAGUGGAAAACGAAGUGGAAAGGCCGUGACAACCAGGAAGUUGGCUUAGAAGCAGCCAUCCUUCAAAGAAAGCGUAAUAGCUCACUGGUCGAGUCCUUCUGCGCGGAAGAUGUAACGGGGCUAAGCUGUUAACCGAAGCCGCGGAUGCGCUGGUUAUCCAGUGCGUGGUAGGGGAGCGUUCUGUAAGUCUGCGAAGGCGGUUCGAGAGGACUGCUGGAGAUAUCAGAAGUGCGAAUGCUGACAUGAGUAACGUUAAAGCAGGUGAAAAGCCUGCUCGCCGUAAGCCCAAGGAUUCCUGCUCUACGUUCAUCGGAGCAGGGUGAGUCGGCUCCUAAGGUCAGGCCGAAAGGCGUAGCCGAUGGGAAUCAGGUUAAUAUUCCUGAACCUGCGUCAGAUGCGAUGGGGGGACGGAGCAUGGAAGAUCAUCCGGGUGUUGGAAGUCCCGGUUGUUUAGCGUAGGAGGUCUGCAGGCAAAUCCGCAGACGCAUCUCCAAGGCAAAGACACGUGCCGCCACGGCGGCGAAGUGAUCGGAAGUGCUUCCAAGAAAAGCCUCUAAGCACCAGUCUGAUGCGGACCGUACCGCAAACCGACACUGGUGGGCGAGCUGAAUAUGCUCAGGCGCUUGAGAGAACUCGGGAGAAGGAACUCGGCAAAUUGACACCGUAACUUCGGAAGAAGGUGUGCCGUAGUACCGUGAGAGGAGAGACACCUUGAGCGGGAAACGGUCUCAGAGAAUAGGUGGCUGCGACUGUUUAUUAAAAACACAGCACUCUGCAAAGUCGAAAGACGACGUAUAGGGUGUGAUGCCUGCCCGGUGCUGGAAGAUUAAUUGAUGGGGUGAGAGCCCUUGAUCGAAGUCCCAGUAAACGGCGGCCGUAACUAUAACGGUCCUAAGGUAGCGAAAUUCCUUGUCGGGUAAGUUCCGACCUGCACGAAUGGCAUAACGAUGGCCACACUGUCUCCUCCCGAGACUCAGUGAAGUUGAAAUGUUUGUGAUGAUGCAAUCUACCCGCGGCUAGACGGAAAGACCCCAUGAACCUUUACUGCAGCUUUGCAUUGAACUGUGAACCGAUUUGUGUAGGAUAGGUGGGAGGCAGAGAAGAGGCCACGCCAGUGGUCUUGGAGCCGACCUUGAAAUACCACCCUGAUUUGUUUGCGGUUCUAACCACGGACAGUGAUCCUGUCUUGGGACCGUGCAUGGUAGGCAGUUUGACUGGGGCGGUCUCCUCCUAAAGGGUAACGGAGGAGUACGAAGGUACGCUAGGUACGGUCGGAAAUCGUGCUGAUAGUGCAAUGGCAAAAGCGUGCUUGACUGCGAGAGCAACAACUCGAGCAGAUGCGAAAGCAGGUCAUAGUGAUCCGGUGGCUCUGAAUGGAAGGGCCAUCGCUCAACGGAUAAAAGGUACUCUGGGGAUAACAGGCUGAUACCGCCCAAGAGUUCAUAUCGACGGCGGUGUUUGGCAC